RNAcentral lists this ribosomal RNA (498 nucleotides) under uncultured bacterium. Its description in RNAcentral is "bacterial SSU rRNA". It matches the Rfam family "Bacterial small subunit ribosomal RNA", at positions 903 to 1397 of the family's 1533-position model. The record is from RNAcentral.
AAAUGAAUUGACGGGGGCCCGCACAAGCAGUGGAGCAUGUGGUUUAAUUCGAUGCAACGCGAAGAACCUUACCUGGGCUUGAACUGCAGGCGUAGCCGCUUGAAAGAGCGGUGAACUCCUUCGGGAAAACCUGUAGAGGUGCUGCAUGGCUGUCGUCAGCUCGUGUCGUGAGAUGUUGGGUUAAGUCCCGCAACGAGCGCAACCCUUGCCAUUAGUUGUCAGCGAGUCAUGUCGGAUACUCUAAUGGGACUGCCGGUGACGAGCCGGAGGAAGGUGGGGAUGACGUCAAGUCAGCAUGGCCUUUAUGUCCAGGGCCACACACGUGCUACAAUGGACGGUACAGAGGGAUGCAAGGCCGCAAGGUAGAGCAAAUCCCUAAAACCGUUCUCAGUUCGGAUUGCAGGCUGCAAUUCGCCUGCAUGAAGCUGGAAUUGCUAGUAAUCGCGGAUCAGCUACGCCGCGGUGAAUACGUUCUCGGGCCUUGUACACACCGCCCGU